This 229-nucleotide ribosomal RNA is filed under the name uncultured bacterium. RNAcentral describes it as "partial 16S ribosomal RNA". It matches the Rfam family "Bacterial small subunit ribosomal RNA", at positions 568 to 796 of the family's 1533-position model. The record is from RNAcentral.
UACGUAGGCGGAAGAUUAAGUCAGUGGUGAAAUCCUGCAGCUUAACUGUAGAACUGUCAUUGAUACUGGUUUUCUUGAAUUUAGUUGAGGUAGGCGGAAUGUGUAAUGUAGCGGUGAAAUGCUUAGAUAUUACACAGAACACCGAUUGCGAAGGCAGCUUACUAAACUAUGAUUGACGCUGAGGUACGAAAGCGUGGGGAGCAAACAGGAUUAGAUGCUCUGGUAGUCC